UACAGAGGUCCCAAGCGUUGUUCGGAUUUACUGGGCGUAAAGGGCGCGUAGGCGGCUUGGUAAGGUUGCGGUGAAAGCCCGGGGCUCAACCCCGGGUCGGCCGUGGCAACUGCUGAGCUGGAGCACUGUAGAGGCAGGUGGAAUUCCGGGUGUAGCGGUGGAAUGCGUAGAGAUCCGGAAGAACACCGGUGGCGAAGGCGGCCUGCUGGGCAGUGGCUGACGCUGAGGAGCGAAAGCGUGGGGAGCGAACAGG
Molecule: ribosomal RNA, 253 nt
Filed under: uncultured bacterium
Lineage: Bacteria
Description: partial 16S ribosomal RNA
Rfam family: Bacterial small subunit ribosomal RNA
Source: RNAcentral